This is a long non-coding RNA of Peromyscus californicus insignis, 9767 nucleotides long. RefSeq lists it as uncharacterized. The transcript is spliced from 3 exons. The record is from RefSeq and is a predicted model, not a curated record. Lineage: Eukaryota; Metazoa; Chordata; Mammalia; Rodentia; Cricetidae.
UGGAAAUCAAACCACCGUGACAAAUGCAGUAAAACAGAGCCUUUGUAAUGAAAUGCUUCAAAACAGAAUCAAGUAGGAGAAAGCAGGCUACAGCAACAUGAAAAAUUCUGCCAACAAAUAUAAUCUACAGGUCAUGCAUUGCCUUAUAGAAGGUCUCUUCUGAAGAAGGGUUACAUGGGAUUUCCACACAAUGGACUGUGUUCACAGCCUGCUGCCUUUGCAUGCCUGACACACCUGGAUUUGGAUGGAGAGUUUGUUGACAGUGCCUGUCCCAAGUUGGGUCCCCCCCGCAAAUCAUUGCUUCUGACAGGAGCUCCUCUUCAGACAGCAAUAGUCUUCAGUAAUUUAAAAGAAACAUUUUUUCAUUAUCUUCUUAUUUCAGGGCUAUGCAGUGAUCACCCAGCAGACAUAUGAAAAUAAGAUUCAAUUGGAUUGUUAAGAAUUCAGCAUUAGGCGAGCCUUGAAAUGAUUAUGCUUUGCUCUGAACGAAAGGGAAAGUCAUAUUGUUAUGCAUGAAUUAAUGUAGGCCAUGACCUACCAGGCCUGCACACAGAUCAAAGCAGGUGCUUGCCCCAAAGCAGAUUGAAGGUGGGGGGUGUAGCCUAACAAAGGCUGUGAUCUUUCCAAGCAAAUGGCCAUGGUGCUGUCUCUUCGUAAGAGCAUCAGCCACAAGGUUCCAGAGUCUGGGACAUGGGUGCUAGGAGAUGCUGCUAUAUCAGAAAGGGCACUGAAUCAUAUGUCAAGCUGGUCUGUGACCUGAGUAGGCAAUAAAGAAGUAGAAAGUACACCCCCACACUUCCCCUUCCCAUAAGAAAUCUCAGAAUAACGUUUGGGGAUAGAAGCUUUGGCAGCUAAGAACUCAAGGGUUCAGAGUUGGGUUGAUAAUGGGAACUUGGCUUUUCCUAUGAGACAGGGGGAAAAAAAACCACCUCUUCCAGGGAGAAUAAAGACCAAACAUGUAAUAAUCUUUGUACAGUGGGGCUAGACAUGAUUGUGAAAUUUGACUGACCUUGUGAAAGUUAAUGUGUAUUAGACACGAAAAUAAGCAGUUGCCUGGUCUUUCUGACCAUCCUGCAUCAUGGAGGAAGAAGCCUUGUCUCAAAGCCUUGUGCCUGACUCCUGAGCCAACCAACAUGCUUUCCUACAGCCCAAUACUCCAGCAUCUGGGUCUGGUACCCAUCUGCCUGAGCCAAGGAAAUGUCCAGCGCUGUCAGCUGUCAGUCUGCACUGGGUUGGAAAGAGUGCUGCCGCAGUCUGAACACGCGGCAAGGAAAGGGUGAUGAAGAGCUACUGUUUCACGACUUCGGUCUCCUCCGUUGUCCUCUUGGCUAGAACCAAGCACUGUGCUUGAGACAGUAAGAAACGGAGCUCAUUCCAGGGCCAUCAGAAGAACCCCAGCAGGCAGGGCUUUGUGAAGCCUUCUGAAAAUUAGCAGCAAUUUUCCCAGAGAUUCUUUUUUUUCCCCCUCAAGGUCUGAUUUUUUUCUCUCUUGUUUUGUUUUUUAUUGAAAAAAGUUUUAAAACAACAUUUUUUUUUGGCGUUUUAAAAUCACAGAUGCCUGGGAUUCAGUGCCUCCUGAGAUCUUGCUCUCUCUUUCUUUUUUUUUUAAUUAAAUUAUUUCAUUUAUUUUACAUACUGACCACAGUUUCCCCUCCUUCCUCCCUUCUGUUCCCUCCCCCCAUACAACAUAUUUUGACCAUAUUUUCUCCUCUCACUAUUCCUCCCAGAUCCUCCACCUCCCCAUCUACCAAACUUUAGAUUCUCUGUCUCUUUCUCCCCAUCUCCUCUCUCUCUCUCCCUCCCUCUGCCCUCCCUACUUCCCCUCUCUCACUUCAAAACAAAACCAAAACAAACAAAACAAAACAACACAUGCAAAAGAAAACAAAAACAAAUAAUCAAAAGAUCAAAAAGACAAAACAAUGCUCAACUAAAGCAAAAUAAGACAAAAAGUCUACAAAAAUACCUUCAAGUUUGUUUUGUGUUGGUCAACUACUGCUGGGCACAGGGUCUGCUUCGAAGUGUGGCUAAUAGACCUAGUGAGACUCCAUUGGAGGAAACUGAUUUUUCCUUUGCCAAUAGGUAUCAUUUGCAGAUUGUUUCUUGGUUAGGGGUAGGAGCCAGUGUCCACUUCUCUAACUCAGUGCUGGAACCCUGUCUUGUUUGAACCUGUGCAGUCUUGUGUGUGUUGCCACAUUCUCUGUGAGUUCAUAUGUGUAUCAGUCCUGUUGUGUCUGGAAGACACUGUUUCCUUGAAGUCAUACAUCACCUCAGCUCUUAUCAUCUUUCAGCCUCCUUUUCCACAUAGAUCCUUGAACCUUGAAAGGAAGGUGUAGACACACUGUUCUCUCCCACCCACCAGUUACUGAAUAAUCACUCAGAGGCGUAACUUAUAAAUGCUCGACCAAUAGCUCAGGCUUAUUAUCAACUAGCUCUUACAUGUAAAUUAACCCAUAAUUCUUAUCUAUGUUUAGCCACAUGGCUUAGUACCUUUUUUCAGUAUGGUAGUCUCAUCUUGCUUUUCUGCAUUUGCUGGUGACUCUCUGAUUCUGCCUUCUUCUUCCCAGAAUUCUCCUAGUCAGGCUCUCAUACUCAAUCUUUUUUUGCCUAGCUAUCAGCCAGUCAGUUUUUUAUUAGCAAAUGAGAGUAAUAAAUAUUCAUAGUGUAGAAAAGAAUUGUUCCACAGUGGGAAGGGUUUGAUGAAGAUAUCCCAUUUAAGACUAGGUGCUCUAAAGUCUCUCACUUUCUGAACAUUGUCCAGUUGUGAGUCUUUGUGUUAGUUCUUAUUUACUGCAACAAGAAACUUUUCUGAUGGAGGCUGAGCAAGGCACUGAUGUAUGGGUAUAGCAAUAUGUCAUUAGGAAUCAUUUUAUUGUUGUUUUCCUUUAGCAGAAUAGUAGUAGUCUCAGGUGCUUGGCAACCCAAGAAAUGUCAGACAUGGGUUCCAUCUCAUGGUGUGGGCCUUACAUCUAAUCAGAAAGUGGCUGGUUAUUGCCAAAACAUUUGUGCUAUUAUUGCACCAGUUUAUCUUGCAGGCAGGUCACUGUUAUAGGUCACAGGGGUUGCAGCUGGUAGAUAUUGAUGAUUACCCUUCUCUUCCAGUGGUGUGGGAAAUACCUUCCAGCACCAUGAAUAAUAGCCAGUAGGGUGUGAAGCUUCUAGAUAGGCAUCAGCUCAAUUUCUCUAAGUUCAAUGAAAUAUGUAAGCCUUUUUUUUCAGUAAUAUACCCUUAUCAAUGUCUAAAUAUUUACUUGUUACUCUUAAAGACUUAUUUUUACUGGAUUCAGACUUAGAAGUAGAAGUUCUCAGCAAGGACAGCCUAUAUCUCUUGGAAAUCUACCCCUGGUGUUUUCCUUUGGCUUCCUUCAUUAUCUUGGCCAAAAGUUUAAUAUAUUCUUCAGUCUGCUCCUUGUUUAGCUUAGUGCAUUGUUUCUUCAGAACAAUAAAUCAACAUUUGAGUUACAGAACAUGUGGAGUAAGAGAUGCUGAAUCUUGGGCUUAUCAUAUUCUUUGUUUAAGGGCUUUCUUUCAACAUGUUGGAGGACAUCAUCCUCUUUAGAGAGACUGAAAGCUUUUGAAUCCUGUUAGCUCUUUGUGGUCUCAGCUGCUGAGGCACAAUAGUAUCUGUCAGUCCAAGAAUAUCCUUCUCUCGUGUGUUUGCAAUAACCAAGUUGAGAACACUCAGACUUGUAGGUGGAAGUUUUCCUGCCCCAACUGCCUGCUCCCAAAUAACUAGCAGCUGCUUCCCAAAUAACUGACUUAGAGACUUAAUAUAAAUUAUAAAUGCUUGGUCGAUAGCUCAGGCUUGUUAUUAGCUAACUCUUACAUUUAAAUUAACCCAUGUUUCUUAUCUAUGCUUUGCUAUGUGGCUUGGUACCUUUUCUCAGUAUAGCAUGCCCAUCUUGCUCUCUCUGCAUCUGCCAGUGACUCUCUGACUCCACCUUUCUUCAUCCCAAUAUCCUCAGUUUAUUGUCCUACCUAACUUUAUCCUGCCUUGCUAUAAGCUAAUCAACUUCUUUAUUAACCAAUGAGAGUAAUACAAAAUCACAGUAUACAAAAGGAUUAUUUUGCAACAUAGACUAGCAUCUACAAUGCAUUCUCAAACUGACAUGCUCUUCCUCUCUUCAGUUCUCCUUGGGUUACAACUAGAAUGCCCCAUAUUAAAUAGCAAGAGCACUCUGCUGUGUGUUAAGACACCUUGUGUCUUAGGAAAACCUUGUUUGUCCUUCCCAUCACUGAUCAGACCGUGCACCCUUCCACUCUUCACCGACAGUGUCUGCAGAUACUUCUGUGCCCAUGUGCUUCUCAUGAAAAGUACAAAUCUUGUAUUCAUUGUCCACUUCAAUGAGCUUCUGAAACCUGAUGGCUGGGAAGGAGGUAUUUGGCUUCAUCUUGACACAGACCCACCUAGGAAGUAACACAAAAAGGAACUCCUCAGAGAUUCUUGGUAAACUGCCACAAGCCCAUUUUGUAUUGGCAUACAAGACUGCACUUAGAUUAUUUCCUGGGAACCACUUCUUUAUUGCUUCUUAUGGUCUAAUCAAGCUCUCUUGUUUUUUUUUGUUUGUUUGUUUUUUGUUUUUUCAAAACAGGGUUUCUCUGUGUAGCUCUGCUGUCCUGGAACUCACUCUGUAGACCAGGCUGGUUUCCAACUCAAAGGUGUAUGCCACCAUGCCUGGCCUAGCUCUCUACUUAUAGAACUCACUGUUCUUUCCCUGGCUCUAAAAUAAGCCCUAAACUCCUUUCUUCUGGACGGGGGAGGGGGAGAAAAGAGAGGAACAGAGGAAAAGAGAGAAGAGGGGAACAGAGAAGAGGAGAGGAGAGGAGAGGAGAGGAGAGGAGAGGAGAGAAGAGGAGAGGAUGGGGCAUGGCAGGGCAGCACAGGACAGGAAGACAUAUAGACAAAAUUUUGGUUGCAGUUUAGGGAAUUUGUGUUUUUUCUAUCUCACUUCAUCUCUAUUUGUGAACCCCAGCAAUCUCAUUGACUACAGAAUAAGACUCUUUGUUCUAUAACCUCUUUCCAGAAAUCUCCAAUUUUUCAUCUUAGGCCUGGGACCCAUCUUUGGAAAACUUUCAAUAUUAUAACACACAUAAGAGUCAUUGCUGAGCUUGGAGAUAUUGAGAUAGCCUAUUUCCUUUAUAUAAUGCAUGCUAAUUUAUAGGCAUAUAUGCCAUAAUUUGGUAUAUGUGAUAAAUUUGUAACAAAACAAGUAAAAGUAAUGUGUUACUGAAGCUCAAAAACAGCAAUUUUUUUUCUUUAUUCACACAAAAAAAUGUUUAAAGUGAAGAUACUAUUUGGGGUGUUUAUUGGGUUGGUAAAGCUAUAGAGGAAAAAAUGUACUUGGACGUAAACAUGGUAUGAAAGCCAAAUAGAAGCCAUUUUGUUACGCUAGCUGCUUCUGACAAAGUACCUUCAUUUCUAUGAGCAACACUCAAUACUUUAAAACAAGACGAUUCUCAACACGAAGGGAUGGCUGUCACCAUUUAUUUUCUACUUGCUUUGUGAUUACAAGUGCUGAUCAUAGCUCACAUAGUUGUAAAAUACAAACCUGCUAUCAUAGCUUGCAUGUAAUUAGUUCUAAAUGUGUGGCCUAUUUACAAUAGCAAGAAAUACACUGCGUACCACAAACACUUAAAAUGCUAGCUAUUGCCAUGCUUUUACGACAGUCAUUAACUGAGCCACAGCAGCAAAUAUUUAAUGUGACAGCUGCAUUAGCAUACUGCUCUGCUGAUAAAGAAGCAUGCCUCGCUAUUUGCAGUGUGCUGUGCCAUGGUGAGCUGUACACACUGACAAGAUGCUGUCUAGAAGCCUUGAGCAAGGAUGGAAUUCCUGCAUCCUCUACUGUUCAGAGAAAUAAGAAACCAUUUUCACUCUGACAUUGAUGGGUCAUUUCCUGCUUCUAGAAGGCACACCUCUUACCUAGACACAUUUGACACAUGCCCCCGACUUUUCUAAAUCUUCAGAACAUUUGGAGUUUCUGGAUAUCUGUAUUCUCUUUUAUCUCAUGCCUUGUUUCACAAGGAGGUACCACAACCAGGAUGAUGAUCUUUUGGGAUUCAAAACCAUUGUAUUUAAAAUUAAAAUGAUUCUCCAUCCCUUGAAUGUAUAGAAAUCUGGAUAUUUGGAUCUCAGACUCACUACUCCUAAUUCCAAAUGUAGAAACUUAAUGACUGUAUUAGUUACCUUUGCUUAACUAUGACAAAACAUGACAGAAACUAAUCAUGAGAGAAAAUAUUUAUUUUGACCCAUAGCUUCCCCCAUGGUGGUAGGGAAGGCAUAAGAAUGCUAAUGGCAUAACAACGGAGCAUGUGAUCAAGGCCUGUCAUGUUGUGGAGGACCAGUAAACCAAGAAAGGGACCAUAACCAGGAACUAGACACAACCUUCCAAAAGGCAGCCUUGGUAGUAUACUUCUGACAACUCUUUCUAAAUAUUCUAUUUUAAACAUUCCUCAUCUCUCAAAAUAACACUGCCUUCUGGGAAACAAGCAUUCAAAACAUGAAUCCAUGAGAGAUAUUUCAGAUUCAAACCAACAUCUUCCCCUAGACCCUAAAGUCUCCUGGCCAUCUUAUAAUGCAAAAUGCAUCCAGUCCCAUUUCAAGAGUCCCCAGAGUGUUAACUGUCUCAACAUUAUUCAAAGGUUCAAAGUCAAAAGUCUCUUUUGAGACUCAAGACAAACUCACCUGUGAGAUCCUAUUAAAAAAAAUCAAAACCAAGUCACAUACUUCUAAAUUACAGGGGCACCAGGAAACAGCCCCACUACCAUGCCUGGGAGGGCAUUGAGGAAAGACUGAACCAAAGCAAGACUACCACCCAGCAGGGCAAAUAUUAAAUCCUAUAGCUUCUUGUCUGACCUCUAGGACACAUGUGCCAUGAUGCAAAUACUGCUGUUUGACAGCCCCUCCCCCACUGCUUUACUGUGUUCCACACACAUGGCCUCUCUCUUGGGCCAAGUUGGCACAGUGCCUACACCUUCCCUCAGCAGACUCCCAUGUUCCUGGCAUCUCCAACAUCCUGGGGUCCUCACUGCACCUUGGGCUUCACCUUCUCAACUUCAUACAUAGCCCAUUCGGGGUUCUCUGCAGGGAAUCUGACCCUGAUACACUUCACCUGGCUUCCCAGGUGUUCCUUUAAAAUCUAACUGUAAGGGGCUGGGGAGAUGGCUCAGUGGUUAAGCGCACUGACUGCUUUUCCAGACGACCUGGGUUCAAUUCCCAGUACCCAUAUGGCAGCUCACAACUGUUUGUAACUCCAAGAUCUGAUACCCUCACACAGACACACAUGCAGGCAAAACACUAAUGCACAUAAAAUAAAUAAAUAAUUUUUUAAAAUCUGACUGUAAGCCUCUAUGACCUCCAGAUCUCUUGCAUUCUUUAUGCUUGCAAAAGCCAUAACCACGUAGAUGGUCCCAAGUUCUACUACUGACUUGAGAAGCAGAGAGGCACCAGGCUGGACCAGGCUGCAGUGGUCCCUGCGUGUCUGGGGCUCAGCUGGAUUUAAGAAAAUGCUUACCUAGAUGCUUUUUUCCCAGUGGUGUGCCCUAGAGACCCCUUCUAGGCACUCUCUUUUUAAAAGGAAGUUAAAUGAGUAAAAGCCCUGGAUCCUUGACCAUUGGGAUCUCACCCUCGAGCACCUUUCCUACCAGCCCAGCACAAAGUGUGUGGCUUCUUUUUAAGUGUGCUAAUCUCUAACAACUAUAACCACUUGGUCUGUACUUUGCCUUCUCUGCAACUUUACAUACUCUUUUUAUCCAAACUUUUUCACGUUUCUGCUCCAGUUUUUUGUUUGUUUGUUUUGCAUCUGACUCUUACUGUGAACCUGCCUAAGAGGAUCUAGCAAUAGCCAUGCCACAACCUGAUGACUGUGCUGUACCAGGCUUUUUCUUUUGGGCCACCAACCAGCUUCCAAAUCAUGACACAGAGACUUCUUAUCAGUUUGGAAUGCUCAGCCUAGCUUAGGCAGGUCUCUGGCUAGCUCUUUUAACUUAAAUUAACCUGUUUCUCCCCUGGGAAGUCAGCCCAGCCUGAUAGAUUCAGUUGAGGCAGGUCCAGUCCCCUCCUCCCUACACCAAGGCUGAGCAAAGUGUCUCAGCAUAAGCCCUAGAUUCCAAAAAGCCAGCUCAUGUACCAAGGACAGGUCCUGGUCCCACUGCCUGGGGGCCUCCUAAACAGGUCAAGCUAAUUGACUGUCUCACUUAUCCAGAGGGCCUGGUCCAGUUCCAUGGGGGCUCCUCAGCUACUGGUUCACAGUUCAUGUGUUUCUGCUAGUUUGGCUAUUCGUCCCUGUGCUUUUUUCAAUCAUGGUCUCAAUAUCUCUUGCUCUUAUAAUCCCUCCUCUCUCUCACUGAUUGGACUCCUGGAGCUCCACCUGGGAUUUGGCCGUGGAUCUCUGCAUCUGCUUCCAUUAGUCACUGGAUGAGAGUUCUAUCAAUUAUUAAAAAAAAAAAGAAAGAAAGAAAAAGAAAAAGAACUAACCUGUUUCUUUUUAUCUACCUUUGUCUUGGGGCUUAUUACCUUUCUUACUUCUGUAUAUCUUACUCUCACUGCUUCUCUAUGUCUGCCUGGCUCCUGGUCCCAGGCAUCUCCCUCAUUCUCUCCUCCUUCUUCUCUCAUUUCUUCUCUCAAACCUAGAUUUCUUCUCCCAUUUAUUCUCUCUCUCCCUGCCAGCUCUGCCUACCCUUUUUUCCUGCCUAGCUAUUGGCCAGCCAGCUCUUUAUUAGACCAAUCAAGUGUCUUAGGCAGGCAAGGUGAAGCAAAUGCAACACAGCUUUUUAUAAUUAAAUAUGCAUUCUUACAUUGUUAAAUGCAGAAAACCCAAAUGUAACACACCUUUACACUGUAACACAGUCUUUACACAGAGUAAUACUCUGCAGCACAGACAAAUGUAACGCAUCUUCACAUGGUUAAAAUAAUAUUCUACAACACUAUGCUGUCCUUAAACUUCUUCUGCCCAAUUACCUGAUCCAUUAUUUUUUAUUGAGUCUCACUCAAAUUUUCAAAACACAAGCAAAUUAUAGGCAGAUUCGUGGCCAGACUAGUUACUACCCCAAUUCUCAGUAGAGUCCCACUUUGUUUCCUCUUGAAACCCCCAAGCACAGGCCUUAAUAUUCGUCUUUUUAUUGGUAUUCUGGUCUUCUGAACUCCCACCAGACUCACCCAUUAAAACCUGCUUAUAGCAUUAUAAUGUUCUUCUAGUCAGCAUCUCCAUAAUCUUCCAAAUUUCUCCUGCCAACCCAAUCCAAAAGCUGAAGAACCACAUAACCAGUUUUAGUCAGAAGUAACCACACUUCUCUGGUAUCGAUUUCUAUAUUAAUUAUUUUGCAUCACUAUGGCACAAUACUUGACAGGAACAACUUAUGAGAGGCAAUAUUUAUUUUGGCUCAUGGAUCUAGAGGAUUUCCAUCCCCCAUGGUGAAGAAGGCAUGGUGGUACUCAUGUCAAUAGAAGUUUGUGACAGCGGCUCCUCACAUCAUAGCAAACCAAGAAGCAGAGCAUGGGACGCAAACCAAGAGCUGGGUAUGACAUUCAAAGUCCCCACUGAGCUACUUACACUCUAAAAGCUUCACAAUCCCCAAAGCAGUGUCACCUGCCAGAGACCAAGUAUUCAAAACCUAAGUCUAUGGGGGACAUUUUAGAAUCAAAGCCCAAGUUCUCAAAUGUCUUAUUUUAAGAAAUGUGUCUCCAUUGGUUUCCAAAUAUCAUUGUUUUAUCCUUAGAUUUUCAAGAAAACUACUUUUCCUAGACUUACUGUAUUACAAAGACAUAAUUUCAA